AAGUCGUAACAAGGUCUCCGUUGGUGAACCAGCGGAGGGAUCAUUACAGAGUUAUACAACUCCCAUACCAUUUGUAAACUUUACUCAGUUAUGCCUCGGCGUGAACUGCGUACGGAGGCAGAGUGGUGUUACCCGGUAGCUUACCCUGUAGGUUACCCUGUGGCGCUACCCUGUAUCAACUCCCGCGCAGCCCGCCGGUGGUACACUAAACUCUUGUUUUAUUUUAUAUUCUGAGCGUAUUAUUUUAAUAAUUAAAACUUUCAACAACGGAUCUCUUGGUUCUG
Molecule: unclassified non-coding RNA, 284 nt
Filed under: Apiospora serenensis
Lineage: Eukaryota; Fungi; Ascomycota; Sordariomycetes; Amphisphaeriales; Apiosporaceae
Also listed under: 1 other name
Description: Arthrinium serenense partial internal transcribed spacer region
Rfam family: Eukaryotic small subunit ribosomal RNA (bases 1-46)
Source: RNAcentral